This is an RNA transcript of Mandrillus leucophaeus (drill), 1219 nucleotides long. It is a transcript of the gene named putative heat shock protein HSP 90-alpha A4, with no coding region annotated. The record is from RefSeq and is a predicted model, not a curated record. Lineage: Eukaryota; Metazoa; Chordata; Mammalia; Primates; Cercopithecidae. The transcript has a single exon.
AAGAAGAGAAAAAGAAACAGGAAGAGGAAAAAAAAAACAAAGUUUGAGAACCUCUGAAAAAUCAUGAAAGACAUAUUGAAGAAAAAAGUUGAAAAGGUGGUUGUGUCAAACUGAUUGGUGACGUCUCCAUGGUGUAUUGUCACAAGCACAUAUGGCUGGACAGCAAACAUGGAGAGAAUCAUGAAAACUCAAGCCCUAAGAGACAACUCAACAAUGGGUUACAUGGCAGCAGAGAAACACCUGGAGAUAAACCCUGACCAUUCCAUUAUUGAGACCUUAAGGCAAAAGGCAGAGUCUGAUUAAGAAUGACAAGUCUGUGAAGGAUCUGGUCAUCUUGCUUUACGAAACUAUGCUCCUGUCUUCUGGCUUCGGUCUGGAAGAUCACCAGACACAUGCUAACAGGAUCUACAGGAUGAUCAAACUUGGUCUGGGUAUUGGUGAAGAUGACCUACUGCUGAUGAUACCAGUGCAGCUGUAACUGAAGAAAUGCCGCCACUCGAAUGAGAUCACGACACGUCACACAUGGAAGAAGUAGAUUAACCUCCGGCUGAGGGAUUACUUACCUGUUCAACACUCUAUAAUUCCUCUGAUAAUAUAUUUUCGAGGAUGUUUUCCUUUAUUUUUGUUAAUAUUAAAAAGUCUGUGUGGCAUGACAACAACUACUUUAAGGGGAAGAUAAGAUUUCUGUCUACUUCUAAGUGAUGCUGUGAUGCCUUAGGCACUAAAGCAGAGCUAGUAAUGCUCUUUUAGUUUCACAUUGGUUUAUUUUAACAGAUUGGGGUAACGUGUGUUGUAAGAUGUAUGUAACAUGAUGUUAACUUUGUGGUCUAAAGUGUUUGGCUAUCAAGCCAGAUUCCUAAGUAGACCAAAUCUUGUUAUCGAAGUGUUCCUGAGCUAUACCUUGAUGUUUUGAAAAGUAUUUGUUACAUCUUGUAGGAUCUACUUUUUGAACUUUUUAUCCCCUGUAGUUGCCAAUUCUGCAUGUACUAGUCCUCUAGAGAUAGGUUAAACUGAAGCAACUUGAUGGAAGGAACUCUCCACAGGGCUUGUUUUCCAAAGAAAAGUAUUAUUUGGAAGAGCAAAGUUAUAAGCCUACCUAAGCAUAUCAUAAAGCUGUUCAAAAAUAACUCAGACCCAGUCUUGUGGAUGAAAAUGUAGUGCUUGAGUCACAUUCGGCUUGAAGUUGUAACAAAUACAGAUGAGUUAAAAGAAAAAAAAA